This 2012-nucleotide ribosomal RNA is filed under the name Triticum aestivum (bread wheat). Its description in RNAcentral is "partial small subunit ribosomal RNA". Lineage: Eukaryota; Viridiplantae; Streptophyta; Magnoliopsida; Poales; Poaceae. The record is from RNAcentral.
CCUGGUAUGUCGCUGGCCCACGCGGAUCGUUAACGUAACCGUUAGUGAGGGGAAAGGAGUAGCGUAAGGGUUUGGGGAGGCUCGAGAGAAAAGGUGGCGGCGAAGACGAGCAGCGGCCUAAUGCUAAUCGGGCUUGGGAGACGACGGCGACGAACGCACUACCGCAGCCGUCGCCUCCUCUUCGUAUUCUUAGUCCUCCGCCUCUGCCCCAGCCACUAACCCCCGUCUCCAGACCUGCACUCCUUCCUGCCCCACCGCUCCCUCCACCACGCCUACCUCUCCCUCCGCCACUAGGGGUAGUAGUUCGGGUUUGAUCAUUACUUCGAGCGGCUGGAGUAGCUCGUACUCCACCUAGCGUUACUCAAGGAUUUCGACACGUUCUUCCACCUCAUGUGGUAGUCCCGAACCAUAGAGGAGGUCAAGCUACUAAAUUACGUUGACAUGAGUGAUAAACUGGGACAAUUACCACUCUUCUCCGACCUUGUCGUCUUAGACUGUGGGCUCCUCUAGCUAUGAGAACUUAAGUUAAAGUACUGUAUAGAAAAGGUCUAUUACCUUUUCUCGUUGAAGUUCAACAAUAGACUACUUCUCAUACUACAACGUGUCAGACCUUUUAUAGAAAACUUGGAGGGGUAGUUUCAACUACUUAGAUUCGACCUGUUCUUCAACAACUGUUGUAUGAAAUUUCUUGUGGGUGUACUAUUAGACGGAUGUAAACGACUAUUCAUAUAAUAGAAGGCAGCACCGUAACCCAAGCUGGCAUGUUGACUAAUGAAACAGUACCUCUUUCACCUACAUGAGUAUAGGGCUCAAACCUCUAAUAACGUUUCCCAAUGGUCCUAACUAUCCAACAAGAGAUUCUUUGGUGUCAGCUUCAGUUCUUUGCUGUAGUUUUUCUGGCUGCUUUAAUAACUUCUGUGUCUUCUUGUUCUCGAUAAACAGCUUGCGUAAGCCGAUCUUUUUUAACUCGAUUCGUAUUUUUUGGACUACUCAUUCUACUGUUAAGUUCUUGGAUGUAAACUAUCCUACUAACAUCACAUGUCCGUCCGACCGUACUUCCGAUUCGGAUCAGCACCUUAUAAACAUUUCGUAAAGUUUUUAUAAGGUUACCGACUAUACCUUUAACAAGACGGUCUCUUCUUCUUAGGGUGAAAUUGUGGUUACCUAACCCAGUUCAAAGAAUAAAGACGACAAUAUCCAAACCAGUGAGAACAACCAAGAGAACUUUACGGCUUCCGACUACAUACCCAACAGUAACGUUAGUACAGACCCCACUAACCGAUAACACGAUUCUAGAUGAAGUGCAAAGUCGUUUUAUACUGUGAUAUAGUCUUAAACUAAUGUUUUAGUUACAUACUGUUUGUUGAACUAUCACCCUUUCCUUGUGAAGAUGUGAAUACACUACUACACUAUGUCGUUCUUCAAUUCCUCCAGUAUUAAAGAAUGAUAUAAAAUUACCUCGUUCCCUUCCGUUGAUAUGUUCUAGAACUAAACGUAACACUCCUCGAUUAAUUUCUCCUCAAACCGCGGCUCACGUUAAAACUACAAGUGCUACGACAUUUCUUCAAUCUCUUCGAACCGUAGCAAGUAGCCCUAAGCUAACCAUCUUAGAAUACACGAGGCAACUUCGCACGGUUGCUUUAGUAUCCGUGGUGAUGACUUCUUUACCACUGCGCUCGUGUUGUCUCGGGACGAAGAAUUGACAGUGGAGUUUACUUUACAUAAAGAGACAUAUUUUCGUGUUCGGUCUUGACUCUUCCGGUUUAGCUGUAAGUCAGCAAGUGGUACACACCAUGCUUUAGUCCUACGUGUAUAGGUUGGGUUGUUUUCAAGGUUUAUAAAGCUGUGAGGUUUGGUUUAACAUACCAGAUCCGCACAAGUGUAUACGUCCUCUUUGACCUCCACAUCUAACGACGUACGUGGAACGCACCAAAUACAUUGUAGGGUUUACACUGUUGAGAUAUAUAACAAUAGUCAAACAGAUUAAGUGUAAAUCUACAAAAAAUUCCUAC